CCUACGGGAGGCUGCAGUGAGGAAUAUUGGUCAAUGGACGAGAGUCUGAACCAGCCAAGUAGCGUGAAGGAUGACUGCCCUAUGGGUUGUAAACUUCUUUUAUAUGGGAAUAAAUCAUUCCACGUGUGGGAUUUUGUAUGUACCAUAUGAAUAAGGAUCGGCUAACUCCGUGCCAGCAGCCGCGGUAAUACGGAGGAUCCGAGCGUUAUCCGGAUUUAUUGGGUUUAAAGGGAGCGUAGGUGGAUUGUUAAGUCAGUUGUGAAAGUUUGCGGCUCAACCGUAAAAUUGCAGUUGAAACUGGCAGUCUUGAGUACAGUAGAGGUGGGCGGAAUUCGUGGUGUAGCGGUGAAAUGCUUAGAUAUCACGAAGAACUCCGAUUGCGAAGGCAGUUCACUGGACUGCAACUGACACUGAGGCUCGAAAGUGUGGGUAUCAAACAGGAUUAGAUACCCCAGUAGUC
RNAcentral lists this ribosomal RNA (460 nucleotides) under uncultured bacterium. Its description in RNAcentral is "partial 16S ribosomal RNA". It matches the Rfam family "Bacterial small subunit ribosomal RNA", at positions 338 to 795 of the family's 1533-position model. The record is from RNAcentral.